UACGAAGGGGGCUAGCGUUGUUCGGAAUUACUGGGCGUAAAGCGUGUGUAGGCGGUCCUCUAAGUCGGGUGUGAAAGCCCAGGGCUCAACCCUGGAAGUGCACUCGAAACUGGAAGGCUAGAGUACCGGAGAGGUUGGUGGAAUUCUCGGUGUAGAGGUGAAAUUCGUAGAUAUCGAGAGGAACACCGGUGGCGAAGGCGGCCAACUGGACGAGUACUGACGCUGAGACACGAAAGCGUGGGGAGCAAACAGG
RNAcentral lists this ribosomal RNA (253 nucleotides) under uncultured bacterium. Its description in RNAcentral is "partial 16S ribosomal RNA". It matches the Rfam family "Bacterial small subunit ribosomal RNA", at positions 524 to 776 of the family's 1533-position model. The record is from RNAcentral.